Molecule: long non-coding RNA, 1337 nt
Filed under: Cyanistes caeruleus (blue tit)
Lineage: Eukaryota; Metazoa; Chordata; Aves; Passeriformes; Paridae
Description: lncRNA (ENSCCEG00000021318.1)
Source: RNAcentral
CAGAACGGGACUUUCCUUGUCAGGCAGCAAGUCAUCUACCAACAGUUUCAUAACAGCAGCUAUUAGCUGGAUUGUGCUCCUUUUUCUUAGUCUUUUACCCCUUUAAGCUCAGCUGAUUUUGCUGCUCAGUGCAGGGGAGUCACAGGCAGAUGAACCUGUUGUUAAGAGCCCGGCUUCCAAUCUUGAAACCCUCUGUUCAUGCACCUACAUCUGCACUUAGACCUAAAAUUGGCACUUGACACCCACUGUAAGAGGGAAAGAGCAACUGGAGAGGAUUCUCCUGCAAGUUUUGUAUGCUGUGUUUGCUGACAGAUGGAUGAUGUCUUGAUUUUGAAACCCAAAGACCACAAACAACAUCUGAAAGGCCUUUUUCUCCCAUUAUAUGCAGCAAUCUCUUGACUUUGAAAAACACAUGCAAUCAGAGAGACAGUUGUCAGCAAACACCAGUUCAGGCAGCUCCCAGGGUACCUCUGGAGGAUCUUCUGUGGCUCUGAACUCAACACAACACCACACCCUUGGCAAUAACCCCUCUGAGGAGCCUGACACAGCCCAAGUGUGAGCAGAGACCACAGGAGACCCCAAGGCCUCAGGUCUCACCACUAACCCAUAAGGACCCAAAGCCAUCAGUCCCCCUCAAAUCUUGUUUCAUGAGUUUAUCUCCUGCAAACAGGGCAUUUGGCUCCUGGAGACUUCCUUCCCAAAACUCUUGCCUGUGAACAGACAAUAUAAAUUUUUUAUCUCUUUGUCCCAAGCUGAUGAUUUUUUUCUAAAAGCUCAGAGAACCUCCUUACUUAAUUAAAGGAUAUGCACCAACAUUCAGGACUUAAAAGACACCAUCCAACUCAUUUGGGGUUUUUCUUUAGCGGGUGUCAGGCAACAUGAAAACACAUUUCUCUUGAAAACCCAGGUGAAGAUGAGUUUAAUGGGAAUGCACCAAACCCUUUGCCUGGUGAAGGCUGGGCUGGUUCUAAAGCCUCUUCUCCACCAUCCCUUGGAGUUUCUGCUGGGGGGGUGAUGCUUACACGCCAUUCUUCAGAGGUGUUGCCUGCUCUCAAAUGAGAGUAUGAGGACCAUCACAUAACUGGUAUUAACCAGAUGUUCAAAGCAAGAUGCAGUAGCCUGGCUCAUGUCUCCUCUGCUUCCUUAGAGACAACACAGCUCAUCUGAGGAGAUGGGCAGUGGAUCCUGAGUAACCAGCAGGCAAGGCAACUGCCUUGAAACACCAUUCCUGAAGAUGCCUGAGACUGAAAGCUGACAGAGCAUUAAUUUAACUUUUGAAUCAAAAUGAAAGCAGCUUAUAAGAUUUUUUUUUUCCUACUCAAUUAUGCAAACAAGGU